This 460-nucleotide ribosomal RNA is filed under the name uncultured bacterium. RNAcentral's name for it is "bacterial SSU rRNA". It matches the Rfam family "Bacterial small subunit ribosomal RNA", at positions 340 to 786 of the family's 1533-position model. The record is from RNAcentral.
UACGGAAGGCAGCAGUGGGGAAUAUUGCACAAUGGGCGAAAGCCUGAUGCAGCUAUGCCGCGUGUAUGAAGAAGGCCUUAGGGUUGUAAAGUACUUUCAUCGGGGAGGAAAAAACAAAACUAAUAAUUUUAUUUCUUGACGUUACCCGAAAAAGAAGCACCGGCUAACUCCGUGCCAGCAGCCGCGGUAAUACGGAGGGUGCUAGCGUUAAUCAGAAUUACUGGGCGUAAAGAGCACGUAGGUGGUUUUUUUAAAGUCAGAUGUGAAAUCCCUGGGCUUAACCUAGGAACUGCAUUUUGAAAACUGAAAUACUAGAGUAUCGUAGAGGGAGGUAGAAUUCUAGGUGUAGCGGUGAAAUGCGUAGAUAUCUGGAGGAAUACCUGUGGCGAAAGCGGCCUCCUAAACGAAUACUGACACUGAGGUGCGAAAAGCGUGGGGAGCAAAACAGGGAUUAGAUACC